GACGAACGCUGGCGGCGUGCUUAACACAUGCAAGUCGAACGGUGAAGCGCCUUCCUUUUUGGUGGGUGUGGAUGAGUGGCGAACGGGUGAGUAACACGUGAGUAACCUGCCCCCUUCUUCUGGAUAACCGCAUGAAAGUGUGGCUAAUACGGGAUAUUCUGGGUCUGUCGCAUGAUGGGUCUGGGAAAGAUAUUGUUUCGGUGGGGAUGGGCUCGCGGCCUAUCAGCUUGUUGGUGGGGUGAUGGCCUACCAAGGCGGUGACGGGUAGCCGGCCUGAGAGGGUGGACGGUCACACUGGGACUGAGACACGGCCCAGACUCCUACGGGAGGCAGCAGUGGGGAAUAUUGCACAAUGGGCGCAAGCCUGAUGCAGCGACGCCGCGUGAGGGAUGGAGGCCUUCGGGUUGUGAACCUCUUUCGCAAGUGAAGCAGGCCUGCCUCGUUUGUGGGUGGGUUGACGGUAGCUGGAUAAGAAGCGCCGGCUAACUACGUG
This 493-nucleotide ribosomal RNA is filed under the name uncultured bacterium. RNAcentral's name for it is "partial 16S ribosomal RNA". It matches the Rfam family "Bacterial small subunit ribosomal RNA", at positions 28 to 507 of the family's 1533-position model. The record is from RNAcentral.